This 1259-nucleotide long non-coding RNA is filed under the name Pan troglodytes (chimpanzee). RNAcentral's name for it is "long non-coding RNA NONPTRT016658". The record is from RNAcentral. Lineage: Eukaryota; Metazoa; Chordata; Mammalia; Primates; Hominidae.
UGGGGCUAGCCUCCUGCUAAGUGAAUCUUUGUUUCAAAUAGUAACAAGAUUUUUGAUCUAUGCAUCUCUUGGGUAUCUUUGCAUUCUGGCUGACAAUUCUAACAAGCUUUCAUAUAUGAUAGCAAUAGGUCAUUUUAGCUCUUUGCUUUUUUAGUCCACAGUGUGCAAUAUUUCAGAAGAGUAGAGAGAGCUUCUCCCUUCCAACAUUCAUUUCAAUACUUGGUAGUGGAGGAAAACAUGACUGAUCUUGUGAAACUGAAUUUCCCAUCACUGUACUAUCACUGUAUCUGAGGAUACAUAAAAGAGGACAUGUUUGCAGGAAAAGCAUAGAUCUGUGUGGUUUUACAGAAUAUUACAAUGGAACAUCUGAGUUUUGUGUACCUGAUGUGAAAUCUGCUGAUUAUGAGCUAUGCAAUAAGACUGCCUAUUGUCUUAGAGGAAUAUUCCAAGAUAGGGAUGGACAGUGCAUGCAAUUAUUUGGACAAUACGUGUCCUUUGUGCAAAGCUAGUUUGUCACUGGAAAAGUACAGAACUAAUACGACAUAAAGAUGAUGAUGCUUAAUAUACUUACCUUGGAAACCAUGUAUGUGUGUCUACAUUUUUACGAAAUUCAUGUGGUAGCAUAAAGGAUAACUCCUAUGUAAAAAAUGGUACUUUUUGUGGUCUAGAAAAGUUAUGUGAUAAUGGAGUUUGCCAACUUGUGAGCACAUAUGCAGAUAGAAGACAAGGUAACUCGGAAGAAAAAUGCGGUGGACAUGGGGUUUGCAAUACUCUGAAUAAUUGUCAACGUGAUGUUGCAUAUUCUCCUUAAACUUGUAGGCAAGAUAGUUCAUCACCAGGAGGAAGUAUUGAUGAUGGGUUUUGGAUUUUAGGAAAAAGUACACCCUUGUUUGUGAAAUGACAUGCUGUUCCUCAGAAAAACGGCCUUUAAUCAGUUGCUACAUUUUUCUACCUUUCCUCAUUUUAACUGCCAUCAUUGGUCUUAAAUGGAACAAAAUGAAGAGAUUUUGGCACUGAGCAAAAAGUGUAAGUGGAAGACAGCAGUAGUAGCAGCAACAGUAACAGCAGUAGUGACAGCAACCAGUCAUAGAGUAACUACAUGAUAACAUCAAAAGCCAUAAGAUAGAGAAAGGAUAUUACCAAGAAACUUACCAUUAACUGGCUUGAUUCAACAAUGAAAACAAAAAUCGCCUUUUUUCUCCUUUCAUUAUGGCUUAAAGCUUUCAAUUGCACAAACAAAAUAAAUUCUAUGACAGGAA